GGGGCGGUGGCGCAGUUGGCUAGCGCGUAGGUCUCAUAGCUAGAUUGAGCGAUCCUGGAACGGUGGCUGAGCCAUGGGCCCGCGCACCUAGGGAUAAAUAUCUCAGGGCUAAGUGAGUAAUCCUGAGGUCGAGAGUUCGAGCCUCUCUCGCCCCA
RNAcentral lists this transfer RNA (155 nucleotides) under Hordeum vulgare subsp. vulgare (domesticated barley). It matches the Rfam family "tRNA". From Rfam's summary of the family: Transfer RNA (tRNA) molecules are approximately 80 nucleotides in length. Their secondary structure includes four short double-helical elements and three loops (D, anti-codon, and T loops). The record is from Rfam by way of RNAcentral. Lineage: Eukaryota; Viridiplantae; Streptophyta; Magnoliopsida; Poales; Poaceae.